RNAcentral lists this ribosomal RNA (287 nucleotides) under uncultured bacterium. RNAcentral describes it as "partial 16S ribosomal RNA". It matches the Rfam family "Bacterial small subunit ribosomal RNA", at positions 66 to 354 of the family's 1533-position model. The record is from RNAcentral.
CCGGUUUUAGUUUACUUUACGUUUAGGGUCGGACGGGUAGGNGGUAACGCGUGGGUAACCUGCCCUGUACAGGGGGAUAACACUUAGAAAUAGGUGCUAAAACCGCAUAAGCGCACAGUACCGCAUGGUACAGUGUGAAAAACUCCGGUGGUACAGGAUGGACCCGCGUCUGAUUAGCUGGUUGGAGGGGUAACGGCCCACCAAGGCGACGAUCAGUAGCCGGCCUGAGAGGGUGAACGGCCACAUUGGGACUGAGACACGGCCCAAACUCCUACGGAAGGCAGCAG